Molecule: ribosomal RNA, 446 nt
Filed under: uncultured bacterium
Lineage: Bacteria
Description: partial 16S ribosomal RNA
Rfam family: Bacterial small subunit ribosomal RNA
Source: RNAcentral
CCUACGGGCGGCAGCAGUCGAGAAUCAUUCACAAUGGUGGAAACCCUGAUGGUGCGACGCCGCGUGGGGGAAUGAAGGUCUUCGGAUUGUAAACCCCUGUCAUGUGGGAGCAAAUUAAAAAGAUAGUACCACAAGAGGAAGAGACGGCUAACUCUGUGCCAGCAGCCGCGGUAAUACAGAGGUCUCAAGCGUUGUUCGGAAUCACUGGGCGUAAAGCGUGCGUAGGCUGUUUCGUAAGUCGUGUGUGAAAGGCGCGGGCUCAACCCGCGGACGGCACAUGAUACUGCGAGACUAGAGUAAGGGAGGGGGAACCGGAAUUCUCGGUGUAGCAGUGAAAUGCGUAGAUAUCGAGAGGAACACUCGUGGCGAAGGCGGGUUCCUGGACAUUAACUGACGCUGAGGCACGAAGGCCAGGGGAGCGAAAGGGAUUAGAUACCCGGGUAGUC